CNNGUNGUGNCAUNCCUNCGACGANUAUGGAGNNACUUUUCCUUUUGGGACANNGGAGCAGGUGGUGCAUGGUUGUNGUCAGCUCGUGUCGUGAGAUGUUGGGUUAAGUCCCGCAACGAGCGCAACCCUUGUUUUUAGUUGCCAUCAUUAAGUUGGGCACUUUAAGGGGACUGCCGGUGACAAACCGGAGGAAGGUGGGGAUGACGUCAAAUCAUCAUGCCCCUUAUGUCCUGGGCUACACACGUGCUACAAUGGUCGGUACAGAGGGAAGCGAAGUCGNGAGAGGGAGCCAAUCCCAGAAAGCCGUUCUCAGUUCGGAUUGCAGGCUGCAACUCGCCUGCAUGANNUNGGAAUCGCUAGUAAUC
This 365-nucleotide ribosomal RNA is filed under the name uncultured bacterium. Its description in RNAcentral is "partial 16S ribosomal RNA". It matches the Rfam family "Bacterial small subunit ribosomal RNA", at positions 975 to 1343 of the family's 1533-position model. The record is from RNAcentral.